UUGUGAGGCUGAUGUGUAGGCAAAUCCGCACAUCGAUAAGGCUGGGCUGUGAUGGGGAGCGAAAAUUGCAGUAGCGAAGGUCAUGAGUUCAGGCUGCCAAGUAAAGCCUCUAGCCAGGUGAAGGUGCCCGUACCGCAAACCGACACAGGUAGGCGAGCAGAGUAUGCUAAGGCGCUCGGAAGAACUCUCGUUAAGGAACUCGGCAAAAUGACCCCGUAACUUCGGGAGAAGGGGUGCCUCGGUAGGGUGAAUAGCCCGAGGGGGCCGCAGUGAAAAGGCCCAAGCGACUGUUUAGCAAAAACACAGGUCUGUGCGAAGCCGUAAGGCGAAGUAUACGGGCUGACGCCUGCCCGGUGCUGGAAGGUUAAGGGGAGUGGUUAGCCGCAAGGCGAAGCUAUGAACCGAAGCCCCAGUAAACGGCGGCCGUAACAAUAACGGUCCUAAGGUAGCGAAAUUCCUUGUCAGGUAAAUUCUGACCCGCACGAAUGGCGUAACGACUUGGGCGCUGUCUCAACGAGAGAUCCGGUGAGAUUUUAAUACCUGUGAAGAUGCAGGUUACCCGCGACAAGACGGAAAGACCCCAUGGAGCUUUACUGCAGCUUGAUAUUGGACUUUGGUACGAUCUGUACAGGAUAGGUGGGAGCCUUGGAAGCCGGAGCGCCAGCUUCGGUGGAGGCAUCGUUGGGAUACCACCCUGAUCGUAUCGGAGUUCUAACCUGGUACCGUGAUCCGGUACAGGGACCGUGUCAGGUGGGCAGUUUGACUGGGGCGGUCGCCUCCUAAAAUGUAACGGAGGCGCCCAAAGGUUCCCUCGGAAUGGUUGGAAAUCAUUCGUAGCGUGCAAAGGCAUAAGGGAGCUUGACUGCGAGACCUACAAGUCGAGCAGGGACGAAAGUCGGGCUUAGUGAUCCGGUGGUACCGCAUGGAAGGGCCAUCGCUCAACGGAUAAAAGCUACCCUGGGGAUAACAGGCUUAUCUCCCCCAAGAGUCCACAUCGACGGGGAGGUUUGGCACCUCGAUGUCGGCUCAUCGCAUCCUGGGGCUGAAGUAGGUCCCAAGGGUUGGGCUGUUCGCCCAUUAAAGCGGUACGCGAGCUGGGUUCAGAACGUCGUGAGACAGUUCGGUCCCUAUCUGUCGUGGGCGUAGGAAAUUUGAGAGGAGCUGUCCUUAGUACGAGAGGACCGGGAUGGACGCACCGCUGGUGUACCAGUUGUUCCGCCAGGAGCAUAGCUGGGUAGCUACGUGCGGACGGGAUAAGCGCUGAAAGCAUCUAAGCGUGAAGCCCCCCUCAAGAUGAGAUUUCCCAGUAUGUAAGACCCCUGGAAGACGACCAGGUUGAUAGGUUCGAGGUGGAAGCGCAGCAAUGCGUGGAGCUGACGAAUACUAAUCGGUCGAGGGCUUAUCC
This 1405-nucleotide ribosomal RNA is filed under the name metagenome. Its description in RNAcentral is "bacterial LSU rRNA". It matches the Rfam family "Bacterial large subunit ribosomal RNA", at positions 1517 to 2925 of the family's 2925-position model. The record is from RNAcentral.